UUGCCUACGGGUGGCAGCAGUCGAGAAUUUUUCACAAUGGGCGAAAGCCUGAUGGAGCGACGCCGCGUGGGGGAUGAAUGGCUUCGGCCCGUAAACCCCUGUCAUUCGCGAUCAAACCUCGCUAUUCAAAAGAUGGCGAGCUGAUAGUAGCGGAAGAGGAAGGGACGGCUAACUCUGUGCCAGCAGCCGCGGUAAUACAGAGGUCCCAAGCGUUGUUCGGAUUCACUGGGCGUAAAGGGUGCGUAGGUGGUGGGGUAAGUCGGAUGUGAAAUCUCGGGGCUCAACUCCGAAAUGGCAUUGGAAACUGCCUUGCUAGUGGGUUGGAGGGGGGACUGGAAUUCUCGGUGUAGCAGUGAAAUGCGUAGAUAUCGAGAGGAACACCGGUGGCGAAGGCGAGUCCCUGGACAACUCCUGACACUGAGGCACGAAAGCUAGGGGAGCAAACAGGAUUAGAUACCCGUGUAGUC
Molecule: ribosomal RNA, 467 nt
Filed under: uncultured bacterium
Lineage: Bacteria
Description: bacterial SSU rRNA
Rfam family: Bacterial small subunit ribosomal RNA
Source: RNAcentral